UGGGGAAUAUUGCACAAUGGGCGCAAGCCUGAUGCAGCAACGCCGCGUGAACGAUGAAGGUCUUCGGAUCGUAAAGUUCUGUUGCAGGGGAAGAUAAUGACGGUACCCUGUGAGGAAGCCCCGGCUAACUACGUGCCAGCAGCCGCGGUAAUACGUAGGUGGCAAGCGUUGUCCGGAAUUAUUGGGCGUAAAGCGCGCGCAGGUGGUUUAGAAAGUCUGAUGUGAAAGCCCACGGCUCAACCGUGGAGGGUCAUUGGAACUAAUAAACUUGAGUGCAGGAGAGAAAAGUGGAAUUCCUAGUGUAGCGGUGAAAUGCGUAGAGAUUAGGAGGAACACCGGUGGCGAAAGCGGCUUUUUGGCCUGCAACUGACACUGAGGCGCGAAAGCGUGGGGAGCAAACAGG
RNAcentral lists this ribosomal RNA (403 nucleotides) under Verrucomicrobiota bacterium. RNAcentral describes it as "Verrucomicrobia bacterium partial 16S ribosomal RNA". It matches the Rfam family "Bacterial small subunit ribosomal RNA", at positions 355 to 776 of the family's 1533-position model. Lineage: Bacteria; Pseudomonadati; Verrucomicrobiota. The record is from RNAcentral.